This is a small nucleolar RNA of Candida albicans SC5314, 83 nucleotides long. Lineage: Eukaryota; Fungi; Ascomycota; Pichiomycetes; Serinales; Debaryomycetaceae. The record is from RefSeq and is a predicted model, not a curated record.
AUAUAAGAUGAUAAAGUUUUCGCCUAAACUCGAUGUAUUACAUGAGAAUAGAAAAAACAAUUACACCAAGAUCUACGCUGACU